This 719-nucleotide ribosomal RNA is filed under the name Streptomyces sp. RNAcentral's name for it is "bacterial SSU rRNA". It matches the Rfam family "Bacterial small subunit ribosomal RNA", at positions 137 to 868 of the family's 1533-position model. Lineage: Bacteria; Bacillati; Actinomycetota; Actinomycetes; Kitasatosporales; Streptomycetaceae. The record is from RNAcentral.
UCUGGGACAAGCCCUGGAAACGGGGUCUAAUACCGGAUAAUACUUUCCCUCUCAUGGGGGAAGGUUAAAAGCUCCGGCGGUGAAGGAUGAGCCCGCGGCCUAUCAGCUAGUUGGUGGGGUAAUGGCCUACCAAGGCGACGACGGGUAGCCGGCCUGAGAGGGCGACCGGCCACACUGGGACUGAGACACGGCCCAGACUCCUACGGGAGGCAGCAGUGGGGAAUAUUGCACAAUGGGCGAAAGCCUGAUGCAGCGACGCCGCGUGAGGGAUGACGGCCUUCGGGUUGUAAACCUCUUUCAGCAGGGAAGAAGCGAAAGUGACGGUACCUGCAGAAGAAGCGCCGGCUAACUACGUGCCAGCAGCCGCGGUAAUACGUAGGGCGCAAGCGUUGUCCGGAAUUAUUGGGCGUAAAGAGCUCGUAGGCGGCUUGUUGCGUCGGUUGUGAAAGCCCGGGGCUUAACCCCGGGUCUGCAGUCGAUACGGGCAGGCUAGAGUGUGGUAGGGGAGAUCGGAAUUCCUGGUGUAGCGGUGAAAUGCGCAGAUAUCAGGAGGAACACCGGUGGCGAAGGCGGAUCUCUGGGCCAUUACUGACGCUGAGGAGCGAAAGCGUGGGGAGCGAACAGGAUUAGAUACCCUGGUAGUCCACGCCGUAAACGUUGGGAACUAGGUGUUGGCGACAUUCCACGUCGUCGGUGCCGCAGCUAACGCAUUAAGUUCC